This 372-nucleotide ribosomal RNA is filed under the name Triticum aestivum (bread wheat). Its description in RNAcentral is "partial small subunit ribosomal RNA". Lineage: Eukaryota; Viridiplantae; Streptophyta; Magnoliopsida; Poales; Poaceae. The record is from RNAcentral.
AUGAUUUUUGGAAAAAAUAAAUGGCAAACUACAAGGCAGCGCAGUCGCAGUUCAAAUUUGACCCGCUUCCAACUGAAUCGGCGGAAAUUUGUCUUUUUCACCAGAGGCGAUUCCAGCAUGGUGGUUGUCGGCUCCGCGGACACCUUCAAGGACAUCCAUGCCAAGGUGCAAGUGGAGAAGCUCCCCGCCGUCUUCUACUACACGGCUGUCUGGUGUGGGUCGUGUCGGGCAAUGGCACCUGUGAUCGAGAAGAUGAGCAGACAGUACCCCAAGAUACCCGUGUACAAGGUGGACAUCGACAUGAAAAUAUAUAUUAAAAAGGUUGAAUUAAUGGGCUCGGCCCAUCUAAAGCACCAAAAUGGCCCGGGCUGA